This 2902-nucleotide ribosomal RNA is filed under the name Escherichia coli. RNAcentral describes it as "bacterial LSU rRNA". It matches the Rfam family "Bacterial large subunit ribosomal RNA". The record is from RNAcentral. Lineage: Bacteria; Pseudomonadati; Pseudomonadota; Gammaproteobacteria; Enterobacterales; Enterobacteriaceae.
UUAAGCGACUAAGCGUACACGGUGGAUGCCCUGGCAGUCAGAGGCGAUGAAGGACGUGCUAAUCUGCGAUAAGCGUCGGUGAGGUGAUAUGAACCGUUAUAACCGGCGAUUUCCGAAUGGGGAAACCCAGUGUGUUUCGACACACUAUCAUUAACUGAAUCCAUAGGUUAAUGAGGCGAACCGGGGGAACUGAAACAUCUAAGUACCCCGAGGAAAAGAAAUCAACCGAGAUUCCCCCAGUAGCGGCGAGCGAACGGGGAGGAGCCCAGAGCCUGAAUCAGUGUGUGUGUUAGUGGAAGCGUCUGGAAAGGCGCGCGAUACAGGGUGACAGCCCCGUACACAAAAAUGCACAUACUGUGAGCUCGAUGAGUAGGGCGGGACACGUGGUAUCCUGUCUGAAUAUGGGGGGACCAUCCUCCAAGGCUAAAUACUCCUGACUGACCGAUAGUGAACCAGUACCGUGAGGGAAAGGCGAAAAGAACCCCGGCGAGGGGAGUGAAAAAGAACCUGAAACCGUGUACGUACAAGCAGUGGGAGCCUCUUAAUGGGGUGACUGCGUACCUUUUGUAUAAUGGGUCAGCGACUUAUAUUCUGUAGCAAGGUUAACCGAAUAGGGGAGCCGAAGGGAAACCGAGUCUUAACUGGGCGCUAAGUUGCAGGGUAUAGACCCGAAACCCGGUGAUCUAGCCAUGGGCAGGUUGAAGGUUGGGUAACACUAACUGGAGGACCGAACCGACUAAUGUUGAAAAAUUAGCGGAUGACUUGUGGCUGGGGGUGAAAGGCCAAUCAAACCGGGAGAUAGCUGGUUCUCCCCGAAAGCUAUUUAGGUAGCGCCUCGUGAAUUCAUCUCCGGGGGUAGAGCACUGUUUCGGCAAGGGGGUCAUCCCGACUUACCAACCCGAUGCAAACUGCGAAUACCGGAGAAUGUUAUCACGGGAGACACACGGCGGGUGCUAACGUCCGUCGUGAAGAGGGAAACAACCCAGACCGCCAGCUAAGGUCCCAAAGUCAUGGUUAAGUGGGAAACGAUGUGGGAAGGCCCAGACAGCCAGGAUGUUGGCUUAGAAGCAGCCAUCAUUUAAAGAAAGCGUAAUAGCUCACUGGUCGAGUCGGCCUGCGCGGAAGAUGUAACGGGGCUAAACCAUGCACCGAAGCUGCGGCAGCGACACUAUGUGUUGUUGGGUAGGGGAGCGUUCUGUAAGCCUGUGAAGGUGGCCUGUGAGGGUUGCUGGAGGUAUCAGAAGUGCGAAUGCUGACAUAAGUAACGAUAAAGCGGGUGAAAAGCCCGCUCGCCGGAAGACCAAGGGUUCCUGUCCAACGUUAAUCGGGGGCAGGGUGAGUCGACCCCUAAGGCGAGGCCGAAAGGCGUAGUCGAUGGGAAACAGGUUAAUAUUCCUGUACUUGGUGUUACUGCGAAGGGGGGACGGAGAAGGCUAUGUUGGCCGGGCGACGGUUGUCCCGGUUUAAGCGUGUAGGCUGGUUUUCCAGGCAAAUCCGGAAAACCAAGGCUGAGGCGUGAUGACGAGGCACUACGGUGCUGAAGCGACAAAUGCCCUGCUUCCAGGAAAAGCCUCUAAGCAUCAGGUAACAUCAAAUCGUACCCCAAACCGACACAGGUGGUCAGGUAGAGAAUACCAAGGCGCUUGAGAGAACUCGGGUGAAGGAACUAGGCAAAAUGGUGCCGUAACUUCGGGAGAAGGCACGCUGAUAUGUAGGUGAAGCGACUUGCUCGUGGAGCUGAAAUCAGUCGAAGAUACCAGCUGGCUGCAACUGUUAUUAAAAACACAGCACUGUGCAAACACGAAAGUGGACGUAUACGGUGUGACGCCUGCCCGGUGCCGGAAGGUUAAUUGAUGGGGUUAGCGGUAACGCGAAGCUCUUGAUCGAAGCCCCGGUAAACGGCGGCCGUAACUAUAACGGUCCUAAGGUAGCGAAAUUCCUUGUCGGGUAAGUUCCGACCUGCACGAAUGGCGUAAUGAUGGCCAGGCUGUCUCCACCCGAGACUCAGUGAAAUUGAACUCGCUGUGAAGAUGCAGUGUACCCGCGGCAAGACGGAAAGACCCCGUGAACCUUUACUAUAGCUUGACACUGAACAUUGAGCCUUGAUGUGUAGGAUAGGUGGGAGGCUUUGAAGUGUGGACGCCAGUCUGCAUGGAGCCGACCUUGAAAUACCACCCUUUAAUGUUUGAUGUUCUAACGUUGGCCCGUAAUCCGGGUUGCGGACAGUGUCUGGUGGGUAGUUUGACUGGGGCGGUCUCCUCCUAAAGAGUAACGGAGGAGCACGAAGGUUGGCUAAUCCUGGUCGGACAUCAGGAGGUUAGUGCAAUGGCAUAAGCCAGCUUGACUGCGAGCGUGACGGCGCGAGCAGGUGCGAAAGCAGGUCAUAGUGAUCCGGUGGUUCUGAAUGGAAGGGCCAUCGCUCAACGGAUAAAAGGUACUCCGGGGAUAACAGGCUGAUACCGCCCAAGAGUUCAUAUCGACGGCGGUGUUUGGCACCUCGAUGUCGGCUCAUCACAUCCUGGGGCUGAAGUAGGUCCCAAGGGUAUGGCUGUUCGCCAUUUAAAGUGGUACGCGAGCUGGGUUUAGAACGUCGUGAGACAGUUCGGUCCCUAUCUGCCGUGGGCGCUGGAGAACUGAGGGGGGCUGCUCCUAGUACGAGAGGACCGGAGUGGACGCAUCACUGGUGUUCGGGUUGUCAUGCCAAUGGCACUGCCCGGUAGCUAAAUGCGGAAGAGAUAAGUGCUGAAAGCAUCUAAGCACGAAACUUGCCCCGAGAUGAGUUCUCCCUGAGACUUAGAGUCUCCUGAAGGAACGUUGAAGACGACGACGUUGAUAGGCCGGGUGUGUAAGCGCAGCGAUGCGUUGAGCUAACCGGUACUAAUGAACCGUGAGGCUUAACCUU